Sinocyclocheilus anshuiensis is the source of this 84-nucleotide non-coding RNA. The record is from the annotation of a RefSeq genome assembly. NCBI's taxonomy places the organism in Eukaryota, Metazoa, Chordata, Actinopteri, Cypriniformes, Cyprinidae.
GUCAGAAUGGCUGAGCGGUCUAAGGCGCCAGACUCAAGUUCUGGUGUCCAAAUGGAGCUGUGGGUUCAAAUCCCACUUCUGACA